GAAUAGAGGAUGAGAGAGAGGAGUAACAAAAGUGAAAAUAAAAACUAAAAACUGAAAUCUAUUUGAAAUUAUUUUCACUUUUAUUACUCCUCUCUCCCAUCUUCUCUCUCA
This 111-nucleotide microRNA precursor is filed under the name Prunus dulcis (almond). Its description in RNAcentral is "sRNA ncRNA". The record is from RNAcentral. Lineage: Eukaryota; Viridiplantae; Streptophyta; Magnoliopsida; Rosales; Rosaceae.